CCGACAGCGGGCCGUGGGUGAGCUCGUCGAGCCUGCGGUGUUCGAUGGCGAGCCGUUCCACCAGCCGGUCGGC
RNAcentral lists this transfer RNA (73 nucleotides) under Microtetraspora sp. NBRC 13810. RNAcentral's name for it is "tRNA-Arg". The record is from RNAcentral. Lineage: Bacteria; Bacillati; Actinomycetota; Actinomycetes; Streptosporangiales; Streptosporangiaceae.